RNAcentral lists this ribosomal RNA (441 nucleotides) under uncultured bacterium. RNAcentral's name for it is "partial 16S ribosomal RNA". It matches the Rfam family "Bacterial small subunit ribosomal RNA", at positions 338 to 795 of the family's 1533-position model. The record is from RNAcentral.
CCUACGGGAGGCAGCAGUGGGGAAUAUUGCACAAUGGGGGGAACCCUGAUGCAGCGACGCCGCGUGGGUGAAGGAGUAUUUCGGUAUGUAAAGCCCUAUCAGCAGGGAAGAACAAUGACGGUACCUGACUAAGAAGCACCGGCUAAAUACGUGCCAGCAGCCGCGGUAAUACGUAUGGUGCAAGCGUUAUCCGGAUUUACUGGGUGUAAAGGGAGCGCAGGCGGCGGGGUAAGCCUGGUGUGAAAGUCCGCGGCCCAACCGCGGGACUGCAUUGGGAACUGGCGCGCUGGAGUGCCGGAGGGGUAGGCGGAAUUCCUAGUGUAGCGGUGAAAUGCGUAGAUAUUAGGAGGAACACCAGUGGCGAAGGCGGCCUACUGGACGGUGACUGACGCUGAGGCUCGAAAGCGUGGGGAGCAAACAGGAUUAGAUACCCGAGUAGUC